CUAUUAUUAAAUUAAUAAAAUUUUUAUUAAUAAGGAUUUUAUUAAAUAUCUUUUUAGA
RNAcentral lists this transfer RNA (58 nucleotides) under Nemopilema nomurai. Its description in RNAcentral is "tRNA-Asn". Lineage: Eukaryota; Metazoa; Cnidaria; Scyphozoa; Rhizostomeae; Rhizostomatidae. The record is from RNAcentral.